RNAcentral lists this ribosomal RNA (253 nucleotides) under uncultured bacterium. RNAcentral describes it as "partial 16S ribosomal RNA". It matches the Rfam family "Bacterial small subunit ribosomal RNA", at positions 524 to 776 of the family's 1533-position model. The record is from RNAcentral.
UACGAGGGGGACAAGCGUUGUUCGGAUUCACUGGGCUUAAAGGGCGCGUAGGCGGAUUGGCAAGUCCGGGGUGAAAUCUUUCAGCUUAACUGGAAAAGUGCCUUGGAUACUGCCAGUCUCGAGGGAGGUAGGGGUCUGCGGAACUUCUGGUGGAGCGGUGAAAUGCGUAGAUAUCAGAAGGAACGCCGGUGGCGAAAGCGGCGGACUGGACCUCUUCUGACGCUGAGGCGCGAAAGCUAGGGGAGCAAACGGG